AUAGUAUAGCUACUUGGUCAUUUAGAGGAAGUAAAAGUCGUAACAAGGUUUCCGUAGGUGAACCUGCGGAAGGAUCAUUAGUGAAUGCCUUUGGGCUUUUAACCAAAUCAAACCUUUGUGAACCGUGGCCUCCGGGCCGUCUUCAAAAACACAGUGUAAUGAACGUCAAUUGAUGUAAACAAGUAAAACUUUCAACAACGGAUCUCUUGGCUCUCGCAUCGAUGAAGAACGCAGCGAAAUGCGAUAAGUAAUGUGAAUUGCAGAAUUCAGUGAAUCAUCGAAUCUUUGAACGCACCUUGCGCCUUUUGGUAUUCCGAAAGGCAUGCCUGUUUGAGUGUCAUGAAAUAUCAAUCCUCCCGGGUUUCCGGAGCGAUCGGAUCUGGGCCUGCCUCCUGGCUUUGCCUUAAAUGAGUUAGUGUCCCAAGCUCUGGGUCGGACGUAAUAAGUUUCGUCUGUCCCCUCUGCCUUGCGUCGCUCACAACCACCACUUUUUANCUCUGACCUNAAAUCAGGUAGGACUACCGCUGAACUU
RNAcentral lists this ribosomal RNA (532 nucleotides) under uncultured fungus. Its description in RNAcentral is "eukaryotic LSU rRNA". The stretch from base 187 to 340 matches the Rfam family "5.8S ribosomal RNA". The record is from RNAcentral. Lineage: Eukaryota; Fungi.